This is a long non-coding RNA of Melospiza melodia melodia, 175 nucleotides long. RefSeq lists it as uncharacterized. The record is from RefSeq and is a predicted model, not a curated record. The transcript is spliced from 3 exons. Lineage: Eukaryota; Metazoa; Chordata; Aves; Passeriformes; Passerellidae.
CGGCGGCGCUGGCGGAAGGCGGGAAGCGGCGGCUCCUGAGGGCGGCGGCCUCAGAGACGCGUCCGGAGCCGUGAUGGCCGCCAAGGUGAAGGUGGAGAAACCAGAGCUGUCCCCGGGGGCCGCGCGGCGCCGCCUGGACGCCGUCCUGGAGCAGCUCCUGCUCAGGGGCAGCCGG